GACGAACCGUGCAAACGUUAUUCGGAAUCACUGGGCAUAAAGGGCGCGUAGGCGGCUCCAAAAGUCAGGGGUGAAAUCCGGCAGCUUAACUGGGGAAGUGCACCCGAAACUGAGUAGCUAGAGUGCGAAAGAGGGUCGCGGAAUUCCCGGCGUAGAGGUGAAAUUCGUAGAUAUCGGGAGGAACACCAGUGGCGAAGGCGGCUCACUGGAUCGGUACUGACGCUGAGGUGCGAAAGCGUGGGGAGCAAACAGG
Molecule: ribosomal RNA, 253 nt
Filed under: uncultured bacterium
Lineage: Bacteria
Description: partial 16S ribosomal RNA
Rfam family: Bacterial small subunit ribosomal RNA
Source: RNAcentral